This 731-nucleotide ribosomal RNA is filed under the name Salmonella enterica subsp. enterica serovar Enteritidis. Its description in RNAcentral is "partial 23S ribosomal RNA". It matches the Rfam family "Bacterial large subunit ribosomal RNA", at positions 2212 to 2925 of the family's 2925-position model. The record is from RNAcentral. Lineage: Bacteria; Pseudomonadati; Pseudomonadota; Gammaproteobacteria; Enterobacterales; Enterobacteriaceae.
GUUUGAUGUUCUAACGUGGACCCGUUACCCGGGUUGCGGACAGUGUCUGGUGGGUAGUUUGACUGGGGCGGUCUCCUCCUAAAGAGUAACGGAGGAGCACGAAGGUUGGCUAAUCCUGGUCGGACAUCAGGAGGUUAGUGCAAUGGCAUAAGCCAGCUUGACUGCGAGCGUGACGGCGCGAGCAGGUGCGAAAGCAGGUCAUAGUGAUCCGGUGGUUCUGAAUGGAAGGGCCAUCGCUCAACGGAUAAAAGGUACUCCGGGGAUAACAGGCUGAUACCGCCCAAGAGUUCAUAUCGACGGCGGUGUUUGGCACCUCGAUGUCGGCUCAUCACAUCCUGGGGCUGAAGUAGGUCCCAAGGGUAUGGCUGUUCGCCAUUUAAAGUGGUACGCGAGCUGGGUUUAGAACGUCGUGAGACAGUUCGGUCCCUAUCUGCCGUGGGCGCUGGAGAACUGAGGGGGGCUGCUCCUAGUACGAGAGGACCGGAGUGGACGCAUCACUGGUGUUCGGGUUGUCAUGCCAAUGGCACUGCCCGGUAGCUAAAUGCGGAAGAGAUAAGUGCUGAAAGCAUCUAAGCACGAAACUUGCCCCGAGAUGAGUUCUCCCUGAGACUUAAAGUCUCCUGAAGGAACGUUGAAGACGACGACGUUGAUAGGCCGGGUGUGUAAGCGCAGCGAUGCGUUGAGCUAACCGGUACUAAUGAACCGUGAGGCUUAACCUUACAACGCCGAAG